GCCGGGCGCAGUGGCUCAUGCCUGUAAUCCCAGCACUUUGGGAGACUAAGACGGGUGGAUCACUUGAGGCCAGGAGUUCGAGACCAGUGUGGCCCACGUGGUGAAACUGUCUCUACAAUAAGUACAAACAUUAGCUGGGUAUGAUGGCGUAUGCCUGCAAUCCCAGCUACUCAGGAAGCUGAGGCAUGAGAAGUGCUUAAACUCGGGAGAUGGAGGUUGUAGUGAGCUGGGGUCGUGCCACUGCACUCUAGCCUGGGAGACAGAGUGAGACCCUGUCUCA
RNAcentral lists this small RNA (280 nucleotides) under Saimiri boliviensis boliviensis (Bolivian squirrel monkey). Its description in RNAcentral is "Metazoan signal recognition particle RNA (ENSSBOG00000009193.1)". The record is from RNAcentral. Lineage: Eukaryota; Metazoa; Chordata; Mammalia; Primates; Cebidae.